Long non-coding RNA from Pezoporus flaviventris, 1055 nucleotides. RefSeq lists it as uncharacterized. The record is from RefSeq and is a predicted model, not a curated record. The transcript is spliced from 2 exons. Lineage: Eukaryota; Metazoa; Chordata; Aves; Psittaciformes; Psittacidae.
UUGUGCAGGAUUCCAGAAAACACAAUUUAUGGCACAUGUCCAGUUCUUAUUUACUAACCAGAGAACUAGCUGCAGCUGUUUAUUAUGACUGGUUGUGCCAGUUUGAUAGUGUGUAAUCAUAUUUACAUAAAGAUAAAAAGGAAGGUGUUAUAGAAUAGCAUUUAGCCAUGCUUUUACCAUGAAUUAAAGGUAAUUUUAGAGUAAUUAGGUGUAAUUUGUUAAAGAAUUCUUCCCAGCAAAUGAUGACUCUGAUUUCAUAAUUACAGGACAAUGCAUACUAUGGCUUUCAAGGUAGGAUAAAACAUACCUGAGGGGAUAGCGUCCCACACUAGGCAGAUCUAGUGUUGUUAUGAAAGGCAGGUGUUUUGUGAGAUUUCAGCUACACACUUUAACACCUGCAAUGUAUUAGCCAUAGCAGUGAUGUUAAUGAAGAACAGGUGCUUCUUUCACCCUCCAGACGAGAAACUGGCAUAAGUGUUACUGUGUGCUGUGUGGGACUCUCCCAUUUGUAUCUCCAGAUGGGCUCUGAUGCCUGCCAGAAGGUUUCAGAUUGUCCACUCCCUGCAAUUUAUAACAGUUAAGGAGAAGUUAAUAAUGGCUCUGAGAGGGGAGAAAAAAAGAAACCUAUUGAAAAGGAAAAUAAAAGGGAAAAGGUCUACAUUCUCAGCAGGAGCUUGGUUAAUUAUCUGACUCCUUCCCAGCCACUUCUGGCACAUGACAUUACCUCAGGAAAACAAUUAGCCUUUCUGCGCUGUGUGAAAAACACAGGGAUGGCCAAACACCAGAAUGUGUGACAUGGUGUUUAACUCUAAGGGCCUAGUUAAAUUAGAGCAGACCUGAAGUACUGCAGAUAUAUGGCUUGUUGUUCCUUUUUUUUGAACUGGAAAUACAGAGUAGGAGGAGAAAGGAAAGUUAUGCAUAAGGUAGUUUUUAAAGGCUAAGACGUGUUGUAGUGUAUGUAAUGAAUCCUAUUGUACUGUCCAAUUAAUGAACUCUCCUGUACUGAACUCAGAAGCAGCAAAGAAGUAGACUCAUACAAUGUGUUUUCUUUCCUU